AUCCGGCUGACGAGUCCUAAAUAAGACGAAACCCAUAUCCUAGAU
This 45-nucleotide non-coding RNA is filed under the name Schistosoma mattheei. Lineage: Eukaryota; Metazoa; Platyhelminthes; Trematoda; Strigeidida; Schistosomatidae. The record is from RNAcentral.